Molecule: long non-coding RNA, 1419 nt
Organism: Oreochromis aureus
Lineage: Eukaryota; Metazoa; Chordata; Actinopteri; Cichliformes; Cichlidae
Source: Ensembl
UGGCCUCUUUGUACAUCACAUCACCUUUAUCCAAGACCAGAUUAAGGUCAGCUGUAGUUAUGUUUUCAUUCUCAUGAAGGAAAGCAAGAAAUGUGAUUGAGUUACAUGUGCACUGACUGUUUCUGGAGUCCCCAUAUUUAGGAUGUGCCUGGCUGUGAGAUGCACAGACAUGUGCUACAGAGGGCUGGUUUUCAAGGUUCACUCUUUCUGAAUGAGAUCGUCCUGCCACAUCACUGUGAUGGCCUCUUUUCACAAUGUCAGCAUAACCCACCUGUGGGGAACUUGACACCUCAGGUUGGUCUCUACGGUUUACCCGAUGUUCAUUAAAUUCAUGCUGCAAUCCAGUCUUUACAGCAUCAGCAUAGGAUACCUGUUGUACAUGUGCAGGAACAUGUUGACCUGUCUGUUUGACACCAUCAGCAUUGGUCUUUGCAGACACACUGUCUUCUGCAGAGCCCUUAGGAAAAUCACACUCAGCUUGUUCACAUGUUGGUACACUGUGAAACUCAUGGAACUUCUUCCAGCGUUGUUUUGCAGCUUGUGACUUUUUCUGCUUCCUUGGCAUUUUUACACACCUGUGUUUCUCUUAGUCUUUAGAAAAUAUAUUCAAAAAAUAAGAGUGGCACACACCAGGAGAUGUUGUCUUUGUCUUUAUAUUUCAGUUUUUAUUUCUCAGAAACAGAUGUCUUUGUUUGUUUGUUUUUUUUUUGUCAGUCGAGAGAAUAAUAUGUACUCUCUUUAUAGGCUUGGCACAACUUAGCAGCAAGUCCAGAAUGAAAAACAGGUAGAGAGAAAAUUUAGAAGAGAGAAUAGACAGAGCAGGAGAGACACGGCUGGGAAAUCACAAUCAGACCGUGAAUUAGAGUUUUCUUUAUUUGUUCAGUUUGUUCUCAGGUAGAGGCAAUAUGCACUCUUUAUUGCUUUAAUGGCUUGGCAUUUUUCAGCAGCAAGCCAAGAGUGAAAAACAGGUAGAGAGAAAAUUUAGCAGAGAGAACAGACAGAGCAGGAGAGACACGGUUUUGAAAUCAAACCGCAAUAAGAUUCUUGGUUUGGCAAAAUUUCUCACAAACCACAGGGUGAAAUACAGAUGGAAAGAAGGCAGAGACAACAGGUGGAGCAGUACAGAGGAUAGAGGGGUUGGGGGGUUGGGAUGUGAGAGAGAAGACUGGAGAUCUGGUCCUUGUUCUUCUUCUGCACACUGUGAACAAAAAACAAGAAAAAAAAAAAUUCAUUAAAAUGAUAUCACAUGGUAAUUGUAUAAACUAAUUGUGACUACUGAAAAAGGACAAAAGAAAUAUUCAAGCUAAACUGUUGUCGGCUGCCAUGUGCAAAAAGUUGCAUAAUUGGGCACUUUUUAAAAGAAUAAAUAUUUAAUUAAAUUCAGCAAUAAUAUUUUAAAAUAUAAAUAUGAUUGAUUGA